RNAcentral lists this long non-coding RNA (2250 nucleotides) under Bemisia tabaci. RNAcentral's name for it is "lncRNA ENSSSA2NGG004526". Lineage: Eukaryota; Metazoa; Arthropoda; Insecta; Hemiptera; Aleyrodidae. The record is from RNAcentral.
AUUGUGUUGUUGUGUUUUGGCGCGGUGGCGCUCGCCGCCGAAAGAUCGCCGGAGGCGCAUGGACGUCAAGUUGUGUUGACCCAGCUCAUUCUGCCGAACGGACAAUAUCCAGGCCCGGCUAAAGUUAUCGAAGCAGCCGCCCCUCUGCCUGCAAGACAAGUCUCGUAUACUAUCCCCAGCUCAAACCUAAUUACGUUGACGGGUUCCAAUAUUACCCGGUUUUCCCGGGUCAGGCACCUGUGCCUUAUGGUGCAAGUCCCUUCGUCUACUACCAGCCUGGCGCUCCCUAUCCAGCUUAUGUUCGAGACGAACAAGGAAGUGGAGGAGGUGGAUGGAGUUCACUCUUCAGUAAUUUUCAAAAUUAUAUCCCCAGUUAUUUCCAACAAGGCUCAGGUGGAGCGCAAGGAGAAGAAGAACACAAUGAGGAGCAAGCAGAGGAGCAGGGAGACAAGCAGAAGCCCCAGAAAGUGCAACAACAAAUCCAGCAACAGCAGCUCCAGCAACAACAAUUCCAGCAACAACAAGAGCAACUCCAACAGCAACAGAUCCAACAAGUUCAGCAGCAGAUCAAGCUUCAACAAGAACAGCUCCAACAGCAGCAGCCUUCCCAGGUGUUCUACAACCAGCAACCGGCGCCUGAGAGCGUAGGCAACCAGAAGGACGGAGCUCCUGCCGGUUUGCAGAACCCGGCAGCGACCGCCCAGUUCCCACAGUUCCUGUACGGCGCUCAGCCCAGUUUUUCGGGCAGUACCCGUCGCAGAACCGCGUGAGCCAGGACCCUGACAAAUUGACCGCGGCCUCUCACGGUGCUGUCUCCAACUACUUAUUCCUUAAAAACCAGCAACAACCCGCAUUCCAGCACACGCAACAGCGGUACGAGAGUCCAGCAGCAGAAACCGCUCCACUGGCGGCCGGCGGUCGCGGGCGACCCGCAGCUGCGGCGGCCCCGGGGAAGAGACUCGAGCUGGAGAGAUAUUCGGCCGACGCCAAGAACCAAAGAUCUCCUCUUUACGCCCAGCACGUCUCUGCGUUGCAGGUUUCCGCCGACCCCGCCUCUAUCCAAGGUUGAUCAGCCACGUGCAGGCUGAGAACAACCUAUCACCCCAGCCCCAUGCGGUCGGCAACAAAUUCUCCCAGCCCCGCCCUGCAUCCGGCGACGUCCUACCCAGCGUGCCCAUCAUCCUUCCUCCGGCCCAAGACCCGGUCAACGUCUUCCCCGUCGAGUACCCGGGCGUCCAGCCGGUCGUCGCCCAUUUGGACAAGAACGGCGGGGCCCCCGUGAGUGGUGUCGUCGCCGGCUACCCGCUCGUCGUCCACAUCCCCGAGACGAACCAGCCGAUCGCCAUCUACCGCGGCCAGUUCCCGGCCUUCAUCGAGCGCAUCGUCCAGCGCAUCCAGAACCGCUACUCCGUCUACAACCCGCCCGAGUACUUCGAGAACCGCCCGCUCCCCGACGCCGAGCUCCAGCCCCCCGAACCGCCCCUCUGCGUCCAGGCGGCCGACACCGAGGGGCGCAACGAGACGCAAGAGGGCUACGCCUACGCCCCGCCCUGCCCCACCUCAACCACACCCACGACAACCACCCCUGAACCCCCGACCACCGGCUACGUCUACGAGGAUCCCAAACUCCCCGAAGACAACACCAACAUAACCGUUUUCAACGGCACCAUCAUUCUCAUCAAUUGCACGGACCUCCAUGAUCUCACCUCGACAAGCACCGAGAUUUACGUCACACCCCCUAAGGCGACGUCGAGUCCGCCUCCACCCCCACCGUCCAUCUACCUCCCACCAUCCACGGAGCCAUCGCCGUUUUACCUACCCCCCGAAACAACCACUACUACCACCACCACUACCACUACUUCGGCACCCCCCGAGACUCAAAAACCGUCAACCCCAGGCCCGGCAUACCUGCCUCCUGAGACGCCGAAACCCUCCACACUUCUUCCUCCGACCUAUCUGCCUCCGGAGAGCCCUAGGCCCCCCGCGUACAUACCGCCAGACCCGGCCCCGAUUUACCUGCCCCCUGAACACCCCGCCCCGUCGUAUCCGCCCCCCAAAACGACGACGGAGAGUUCUGUAGCGUACGUGAUCCAUACUGAAAAAGAGCCGGUAUCGUAUCCUGCGCCCCAUGUUAAUAUCAAUAUCAAUGGCUACCAGCAGGCGAAUCAGCUUCAACCUCUAUUCCCGUUUCCUUUGAGGUUGAUCCAGUUUAAGAAAAUGCUCUUGGCGAAGAUACUGCAUUUGAAUUGA